Molecule: long non-coding RNA, 1919 nt
Organism: Mus musculus (house mouse)
Lineage: Eukaryota; Metazoa; Chordata; Mammalia; Rodentia; Muridae
Product: predicted gene, 38491
Exons: 2
Source: RefSeq, marked validated
AAAGAAAAUGCAAGCGCUCUCGGAGCUGACGAGUUGAGAGUGAAUACGGGCAAGCGGCUCCGUGCGUGCGUGAUGAAUGCCAGACAGAUAGAUUCGUGGAAGAUAUUGGGUAGCUGUGUCUGUGUAUGAUUGUGUGCGCCCGGACAUGGCCAUGUGAGUUGGUUCAUUGUUGGUCUCGCGCCCCUUCUGUUGGGUAAAACUUGGAUCUGGCCCGAGGUGAGUAAUUUAUUCAUUUUGCAACUAUCUAUGGAAAGCCAGAGCUGAGGUCGCGGUGCGCGGUCUUGGGGACUGGGCUGGGAUCUUGCGGUCCCUCGGCCUCGGCGUGACGGCUUUGGGCACCGCCGCGGGGAGGGCUUCGCCAGCUUCUUGCAAACAAAACCGGCCAACCCGGAGCUGGCGGCGUCCCUCUCGCCUCCAUUGCGUGUACUGAGCAGCUGAGAGGCAAAGCCUCAAAGCCUUCCCUCCUGCGGUUGGUCCCCAGCGGGCGUCGCUGGCUUACCCCUGCAGGCCUGGGGACUCUGGAGAGCUCCGCCACCUUCCUCCCCAGCCGGGUCGCCUACCCGAAAUCCUAGAGCUCUCUGGCAUCUUGGUCGUGGCGCGGCGCGGGGACAGCGCGCGCCGAGGGAGCCUUGAUCUCCGAUCUCUAAGAGAUUAAUUCUAUUUAAGCUCCCUCCGCCGCUUGAACUUGUCGAACAAGAGCUUGCCAGCCUCUCCUCGGGGCGUGGGCCCGGCCGGGGGUCAGAGGUCGCGCCUCCAGCUCUCCAGACCGAAUUGGAGGCUGGGGGCUGGCGAGCUGUGGACAGCGCUCCUCCUGGUCGCUAGCCCACCCUUCCCGCAGCUCCCUCCUCACCUGGCCGCAGUGCCUGUUGGAGUCUCCCGUGUGACUGCCUGGCCCUGCAGAUCCAAGGACCGGGUCCCAACUCGAAAGGGCUGUAUGCUCCUGUCUCAGGCCUCAGCACGUGAAAGCAACUUUUCCCGGAUUGCCCGAGCCUGGGAGGCAAGGAACCAAGAGCAGCACACACAGCAACUACCAGGCUUAGGGCCAGGCCACUUGGAACAACCGAGAGGCGGGUGAUCGUGUCCCAUACCACCUCUCCUUUAUGGUCUUUCAAACAAGGGCGAGUAUAGGGUAAGCUGGGGAUUUUUAGAUGACAAGGAGGGAAAAUUAACAUUUUUUUUUUGACAGUCAACUUGGGCUGCCAGCGAGCCCUGCUCGCGGCACAGCUCAAACUCGAACUCAGUGCAAAGAGAGGAGAGGCAUUUCCGGCUAGGGUUUUAGAGACAGGGUGCCAGGCUCGGCUUUUGGUCCUCGGGUCUAACUCUUGCCAGAGAUCCAAUUGAUGCUGCUGUGGCAGACACCACCAUCGCGAUGUGGAGGCAGAAGGGGGGUGCUUGGUCAAGGACAAAGGACUUCAAGUGGAACUAAUUUGCCGUGGGCAAAGAUGUGGGCAAGUGGUGGUGGGAACUAAACACGGACUUGUCUUCAGGGAGAAGUUUAAGGAUUUGUGGACAGGAAGAGAACUAGGGAUGUUUCAGGUGCCCAGUCUGGAAGGUAGAAGGACUUGGCUGCUCUGGAUUCCAAACAACUCUCGACUCCUCCUGCAGUGCCUGCUGACUCAUUUACAGACACCAAAACUUGUGAAAAAUACUCCCAAACUCACACAGUUGUCCCCCAAACAAAAUUGGAAUGUUCUUUCUCCAGCCACUAACUAACUCUUAAUCGAACUAGGUGCCAAGAAGCCCACUAAACAGACACGGGUGCACACACCCCACCCCCACUCCACACCGAGAGAACGAUCCAAUUCUGGCAAAAGCCACAAGGGGCUACCCACCCCGCAGCAUAUGCGUUCUGUAUUCUGGGCGCCCGACUGUAAUUAUCCGCGCGUUUUGCAUAAUUCACAAUACAGUUCUGAAAUCAU